GAGUAACACGUAUCCAACCUGCCGUCUACUCUUGGACAGCCUUCUGAAAGGAAGAUUAAUACAAGAUGGCAUCAUGAGUCCGCAUGUUCACAUGAUUAAAGGUAUUCCGGUAGACGAUGGGGAUGCGUUCCAUUAGAUAGUAGGCGGGGUAACGGGCCCACCUAGUCUUCGAUGGAUAGGGGUUCUGAGAGGAAGGUCCCCCACAUUGGAACUGAGACACGGUCCAAACUCCUACGGGAGGCAGCAUG
This 248-nucleotide ribosomal RNA is filed under the name uncultured bacterium. RNAcentral's name for it is "partial 16S ribosomal RNA". It matches the Rfam family "Bacterial small subunit ribosomal RNA", at positions 108 to 353 of the family's 1533-position model. The record is from RNAcentral.